UGGGGAAUAUUGCACAAUGGGCGAAAGCCUGAUGCAGCGACGCCGCGUGAGCGAAGAAGUAUUUCGGUAUGUAAAGCUCUAUCAGCAGGGAAGAAAAUGACGGUACCUGACUAAGAAGCACCGGCUAAAUACGUGCCAGCAGCCGCGGUAAUACGUAUGGUGCAAGCGUUAUCCGGAUUUACUGGGUGUAAAGGGAGCGUAGACGGUUGUGUAAGUCUGAUGUGAAAACCCGGGGCUCAACCCCGGGACUGCAUUGGAAACUAUGCAGCUAGAGUGCCGGAGAGGUAAGCGGAAUUCCUAGUGUAGCGGUGAAAUGCGUAGAUAUUAGGAGGAACACCAGUGGCGAAGGCGGCUUACUGGACGGUAACUGACGUUGAGGCUCGAAAGCGUGGGGAGCAAACAGGAUUAGAUACCC
RNAcentral lists this ribosomal RNA (415 nucleotides) under uncultured bacterium. RNAcentral describes it as "bacterial SSU rRNA". It matches the Rfam family "Bacterial small subunit ribosomal RNA", at positions 355 to 787 of the family's 1533-position model. The record is from RNAcentral.